RNAcentral lists this ribosomal RNA (2009 nucleotides) under human gut metagenome. RNAcentral's name for it is "bacterial LSU rRNA". It matches the Rfam family "Bacterial large subunit ribosomal RNA", at positions 1 to 1999 of the family's 2925-position model. The record is from RNAcentral.
UAAAGAUUUUAAGGGCGUACGGUGGAUGCCUUGGCGAUAUCAGCCGAAGAAGGACGCGGUAAGCUGCGAUAAGCUACGGAGAGAUGCAAGCAAUCUUUGACCCGUAGAUUUCCGAAUGGGGGAACCCGGCAGUGGUUAUGCACUGUCACCCAUACCUUUGAGUAUGAGGAGGGCACCUGGGGAACUGAAACAUCUAAUUACCCAGAGGAAAAGUAAUCAAACGAGAUUUUCUUAGUAGCGGCGAGCGAACGGGAAAGAGGCCAAACCGGAGCGGGCAACCGCACCGGGGUUGAGGACAGUCAUCAAGUGUAAAUGAGGUAGAAGAAUCGAGUUGGAAAGCUCAGCCGAAGAAGGUGAAAGCCCUGUAAUCGAAACCUUGCAUACAUGGGACUGUAUCCAGAGUACCACGAGACACGUGAAACCUUGUGGGAAGCAGGGGGGACCACCCUCCAAGCCAAAAUACUGAUAUCGACCGAUAGCGCAUAGUACCGUGAGGGAAAGGUGAAAAGAACCCCUGGCGGGGAGUGAAAGAGAACCUGAAACCGUAUGUCUACAAACAGUCGAAGUCUGUAUAUAUAUCAGGACGACGGCGUGCCUAUUGAAGAAUGAACCGACGAGUUACUGUUGCUAGCGAGGUUAAGUGGAAAACACGGAGCCGCAGCGAAAGCGAGUCUGAACAGGGCGUUCAGUUAGUAAUAGUAGACCCGAAACCGUAGUGAUCUAUCCAUGGCCAGGUUGAAGCACAGGUAAAAUUGUGUGGAGGACCGAACUCGUGAGCGUUGAAAAGCUUUGGGAUGAGUUGUGGAUAGGGGUGAAAUGCCAAUCGAACACGGAGAUAGCUGGUUCUCCCCGAAAUAGCUUUAGGGCUAGCCUCGAGGUUGAGAGUAUAGGCGGUAGAGCACUGAUCGGGCUAGGGGCCAUACCGGUUACCGAACCUAGUCAAACUACGAAUGGCUAUACUUAUACUCGGGAGUCAGACAGUGAAUGAUAAGGUCCAUUGUCAAGAGGGAAACAGCCCAGAACACCGACUAAGGUCCCAAAUGUUACACUAAGUGGCGAAGGAUGUGGAAUUUCCAAAACAACCAGGAUGUUGGCUUAGAAGCAGCCACCAUUUAAAGAGUGCGUAAUAGCUCACUGGUCGAGAGACUCUGCGCCGAAAAUGUCCGGGGCUAAAGUGUAAAACCGAAGUCGUGUCAUAUGCAGCAAUGUAUAUGGGUAGGGGAGCGUUCUCAUUGGGUUGAAGCAGUACCGUAAGGAGUUGUGGACUGAUGAGAAGUGAGAAUGUCGGUAUGAGUAGCGAAAAGAAUGGUGAGAAUCCAUUCCACCGAAAGCCUAAGGGUUCCUGAGCAACGAUCGUCGUCUCAGGGUAAGUCGGGACCUAAGCCGAGGCGGAAAAGCGUAGGCGAUGGACAACAGGUUGAAAUUCCUGUACCGGUGUGAAUCGUUUGAUCGAUGGAGUGACACAGUAAGGUAGGUCAGCACGCGAUUGGAAGUGCGUGUUUAAGCAUGUAGGUUGAGUUAUAGGCAAAUCCGUAGCUCUAAAAGCUGAGAUGUGAUGACGAGUUACUAGCGAUAGUAACGAAGUGAUUGAUCCUACACUGUCGAGAAAAGCUUCUAGGUAGAGACACAUCGCCCGUACCAAAACCGACACAGGUAGGCGGGGAGAGAAUCCUAAGGUGCGCGGGAAAACCCUCGUUAAGGAACUCGGCAAAAUGCCUCCGUAACUUCGGGAAAAGGAGGACUCAUGUAGUGUGAAGUGCAGCAACGCAUGGAGCAUGAAUGAGUGGCACAAGAGAGGCGCAAGCGACUGUUUACCACAAACACAGGUGCCUGCUAAAGCGAAAGCUGAUGUAUAGGUGCUGACACCUGCCCGGUGCUGGAAGGUUAAGAGGAGGGGUUAGACUUCGGUCGAAGCUCUGAAUUGAAGCCCCAGUAAACGGCGGCCGUAACUAUAACGGUCCUAAGGUAGCGAAAUUCCUUGUCGGGUAAGUUCCGACCCGCACGAAAGG